UACCCGCUGGCCCCGGAGCCGAGGGGCUUGGCCGGCCGGCGGGGUUCGGCGUCCCCCAGGUCGGUGGUCCGGCCGAGGGGCAUCCCCGGAAAGGCGGAAGGGGUAGGGGAGGGGGAACUAUCACAAAGCUUGCGGCCCGGGUCUGAGAAGAUAUUGGGGAGGGGGCUGAAGGGAUGGCCUGAGGAAAAGGUGCGAAUAAGAAAGAGGUGGCCCUCGGGGCCCACGAAGGAGGGAAGAAAAUGGCGCCUUCCCUGGACGGUUCUGGAGGUGAGAAGCCCAAGAUCAAGGUUCAGCAGAGUUGGUUUCAUCUAAGGGGCCUGAAGAAGGAUCUAUUCCCGGCCUCUCUUGUUGACUUAGAGAAGCUGAGCCAUGCAUGGGGGAGACUGAAGAGAAUGACAGCUGGUGGCCCUCCUCUCUGUUCCUAGUAAUUCAGCCCUGACCCGCCACUCAAAUCCUGCUCAGCAAGUACAAGUGUCACCGUAAAAGUGUGCUACCCUCAUGAGAGGGUGGUCUGAGACAGGUGGCAGAUCCCACUGGCACCUGUAUUCUGAUGGCUUCUCAUCCUCCAUCUCCACCAUAUAUCGUCUGCUGAGCUUGGGCAAUGCUAAUAGAUGGGACACAUUGUUUGUGUGCUUUCCCUCCACCCCCAAAUUUAUAAGUUUUUUAAAACCUAAUCCCCAUUUUUAUGCCCUCUGAUUGUCUAUUUUAAAUUUUUUUUAAAAAAGCUUAGUAAGCUAUUAUCUGAACACAGUAAUGGAGAGUGACCGGUAGUUUGAAAAACACCAGUUAGCCUAUCAUAGAUGUUAGAUAAAUAUUUCUUGCUAAAAUUUCAUGCUGAAAAAAUGCAUGUGUGGCCCUGACAUUUUGCAUCACCGUUACCAUUUUACAGAUGAGUUUAACUGAAUCUCAGAGAGAAUUUUCUUGCUCUGACUCUCCAUCCUGUGGCUUUCCACAACCUGCCGUCUUUAAGACCACAGCUGAGUAUUUUGUGAUUCACCUGCUACCACUGGCCAGUCACCGUGUUAUUGUUCCAGCAAUUGAGUCAAAACAUCCAGACUCUGUUUCUCAUCUUAUCUGUCAUUAAAGGUCUAAGAUUCUGUCUCCCCACUGAGGGAUGUGCUCAGUGACACUGUUGCCUACACAGCCCCCUGCCACCUCCCGCUAACCCAUGGAUUUACUGCACGUGGGGGACACCCUUACUCUGGAUCGAACCAGUCGGAUAGCUGAA
Molecule: long non-coding RNA, 1228 nt
Organism: Pipistrellus kuhlii (Kuhl's pipistrelle)
Lineage: Eukaryota; Metazoa; Chordata; Mammalia; Chiroptera; Vespertilionidae
Exons: 3
Source: RefSeq, a predicted model, not a curated record